GAGGAGCUAGCUCAGUGGUAGAGCACAUGCCUAGCAUGUACGAGGUCCUGGGUUCAGUCCCCGGCACCUCC
Molecule: transfer RNA, 71 nt
Filed under: Camelus bactrianus (Bactrian camel)
Lineage: Eukaryota; Metazoa; Chordata; Mammalia; Artiodactyla; Camelidae
Also listed under: 1 other name
Rfam family: tRNA
About the family: Transfer RNA (tRNA) molecules are approximately 80 nucleotides in length. Their secondary structure includes four short double-helical elements and three loops (D, anti-codon, and T loops).
Source: Rfam by way of RNAcentral